This is a long non-coding RNA of Cimex lectularius (bed bug), 752 nucleotides long. RefSeq lists it as uncharacterized. The transcript is spliced from 2 exons. Lineage: Eukaryota; Metazoa; Arthropoda; Insecta; Hemiptera; Cimicidae. The record is from RefSeq and is a predicted model, not a curated record.
AUAAGAUAAGAACGCAGUUUUUGUUUAUUUGCUCAAACACAUUGCGCUCGUUUUGCCUAAAACCAUUGCUUUCACUUUUCCGCAAACGCAUUAUGCUCUAACCAAUGAAUUAAUGGUAACUAAAACCGAAGCUUUGUUUCGAUUUUUCGAAUUUUCUGUCUUGCAGCGGCAUUCGCUCAAAUGGAUUUUAAAAGUGAUGCUACGAUUCCACUUGGAAAAUACAAACUACUUUGCAACCUUAAAACCUGAGAUUCUGAUAAAUGUAAAUAUCGAUGAAACAGCUGGCGAACUUUUCACUUUUGUUUCAUGAGUAUGGACAUUUAAGUUUACAAAAUCAUCACAUCAAUUUUUAUAACAAGGGAAAAUGUGAAUGAAGAGAAAAUACGGCUAUGAUAACGACCAUAAUAGUAAUGCCGAUUGGUGGGUCCGACGGUGGAGCUGCGGCCGACUUCGCUCUUAAAUGAGAUACCGACACCUCCAGCAAGACUGCCAGGACGUUGCAGUGAUUUGCAAGCAUUCAGACGCGCAGUUCCUCGCUGUCAGGAUCACACUUCUCGCCGCUGCGCUUAUUAUUGAAUUCCAAGGGUCUUCCUUCUGCCUGAAGUGUACUAAUGUGCAAUCUACGGUCGAAACGGGAUAAAAUUAUGCCAAAGUUCCAGCUACCAUUGGCGAUAUUUCAUCCAAGGCUGUUACACGUAAACGAUUAUCUUUUUAUAUCAUACAGUAGUGGUCAAUAAAUUGUUAACAUCUGA